Molecule: ribosomal RNA, 490 nt
Filed under: uncultured bacterium
Lineage: Bacteria
Description: partial 16S ribosomal RNA
Rfam family: Bacterial small subunit ribosomal RNA
Source: RNAcentral
AUUGAACGCUGGCGGCAGGCCUAACACAUGCAAGUCGAACGGUAACAGGAAGCAGCUUGCUGCUUCGCUGACGAGUGGCGGACGGGUGAGUAAUGUCUGGGAAACUGCCUGAUGGAGGGGGAUAACUACUGGAAACGGUAGCUAAUACCGCAUAACGUCGCAAGACCAAAGAGGGGGACCUUAGGGCCUCUUGCCAUCGGAUGUGUCCAGAUGGGAUUAGCUAGUAGGUGGGGUAACGGCUCACCUAGGCGACGAUCCCUAGCUGGUCUGAGAGGAUGACCAGCCACACUGGAACUGAGACACGGUCCAGACUCCUACGGGAGGCAGCAGUGGGGAAUAUUGCACAAUGGGCGCAAGCCUGAUGCAGCCAUGCCGCGUGUAUGAAGAAGGCCUUCGGGUUGUAAAGUACUUUCAGCGGGGAGGAAGGGAGUAAAGUUAAUACCUUUGCUCAUUGACGUUACCCGCAGAAGAAGCACCGGCUAACUCCGUG